AGAGUUUGAUCCUGGCUCAGAUUGAACGCUGGCGGCAGGCCUAACACAUGCAAGUCGAACGGUAGCACAGAGGAGCUUGCUCCUUGGGUGACGAGUGGCGGACGGGUGAGUAAUGUCUGGGAAACUGCCCGAUGGAGGGGGAUAACUACUGGAAACGGUAGCUAAUACCGCAUAACGUCGCAAGACCAAAGAGGGGGACCUUCGGGCCUCUUGCCAUCGGAUGUGCCCAGAUGGGAUUAGCUAGUAGGUGGGGUAACGGCUCACCUAGGCGACGAUCCCUAGCUGGUCUGAGAGGAUGACCAGCCACACUGGAACUGAGACACGGUCCAGACUCCUACGGGAGGCAGCAGUGGGGAAUAUUGCACAAUGGGCGCAAGCCUGAUGCAGCCAUGCCGCGUGUAUGAAGAAGGCCUUCGGGUUGUAAAGUACUUUCAGCGAGGAGGAAGGCGUUGUGGUUAAUAACCGCAACGAUUGACGUUACUCGCAGAAGAAGCACCGGCUAACUCCGUGCCAGCCGCCGCGGUAAAAGGG
This 531-nucleotide ribosomal RNA is filed under the name uncultured Enterobacterales bacterium. RNAcentral describes it as "bacterial SSU rRNA". It matches the Rfam family "Bacterial small subunit ribosomal RNA", at positions 8 to 528 of the family's 1533-position model. The record is from RNAcentral. Lineage: Bacteria; Pseudomonadati; Pseudomonadota; Gammaproteobacteria; Enterobacterales.